This 490-nucleotide ribosomal RNA is filed under the name uncultured bacterium. Its description in RNAcentral is "partial 16S ribosomal RNA". It matches the Rfam family "Bacterial small subunit ribosomal RNA", at positions 30 to 507 of the family's 1533-position model. The record is from RNAcentral.
AUUGAACGCUGGCGGCGGGCCUAACACAUGCAAGUCGAACGGUAACAGGAAGCAGCUUGCUGCUUUGCUGACGAGUGGCGGACGGGUGAGUAAUGUCUGGGAAACUGCCUGAUGGAGGGGGAUAACUACUGGAAACGGUAGCUAAUACCGCAUAACGUCGCAAGACCAAAGAGGGGGACCUUCGGGCCUCUUGCCAUCGGAUGCGCCCAGAUGGGAUUAGCUAGUAGGUGGGGUAACGGCUCACCUAGGCGACGAUCCCUAGCUGGUCUGAGAGGAUGACCAGCCACACUGGAACUGAGACACGGUCCAGACUCCUACGGGAGGCAGCAGUGGGGAAUAUUGCACAAUGGGCGCAAGCCUGAUGCAGCCAUGCCGCGUGUAUGAAGAAGGCCUUCGGGUUGUAAAGUACUUUCAGCGGGGAGGAAGGGAGUAAAGUUAAUACCUGUGCUCAUUGACGUUACCCGCAGAAGAAGCACCGGCUAACUCCGUG